Molecule: unclassified non-coding RNA, 873 nt
Filed under: Hevea brasiliensis (rubber tree)
Lineage: Eukaryota; Viridiplantae; Streptophyta; Magnoliopsida; Malpighiales; Euphorbiaceae
Source: RNAcentral
AAGAGACGGAUGAAAUUAAGUAUUACACAGAUCUUCUAAAACGGAGAAACCACGAGCUGUACACGAAGUUUCCCCACAUGUCACGAUCAAAGCACCUACCGAAGAAUCUUAUCAAAAUAAUAGCUAUAUAAGCAGUCCUUUAGCAAUCAAUCUUUCUAUAUUCUUUCUUCAUUUUGAUAUUUUGUCUUUCUUUCCUAUUCUGCAAUUACAAUGUCGCAGCUGGUGGACAAGGCGAAGAAUUUUGUGGCGGAGAAGGUAGCCAACAUAAAAAAGCCGGAGGCUACCGUCUCAGACGUGGAUCUGAGUAGCGUCCACCGUGAUCGCGUAGAAUACAACGCCAAGAUUUCUGUCAAUAACCCAUACGGGCAUCCUCUUCCCAUUUGCGAGGUCUCCUACACUCUCAAAAGCGAUGGCAGAGUGAUUGCAUCAGGGAAUAUGCCUGACCCUGGAUCACUGAAGGCAAGUGACAUAACAAUUCUGAAUGUGCCAGUGAAUGUGCCGCAUAGCAUACUAGUGAGCCUGGUGAGGGACAUUAGCAGAGACUGGGACAUAGACUAUGAAUUAGAAGUGGGUCUCACCAUUGACCUUCCUAUCAUUGGCAACUUCACCAUUCCCCUCUCUAGUAAAGGCGAGGUGAAGCUCCCCACCCUCUCUGAUUUCUUCUGACACCCUCGCCUAUUCUGGCUUAUGCCUUCUUCUAUAUCUUGCUUUUGUUACCAAUCAAAGACCUUUCAUUACUAGUGUGAGAUAUGGUACUGUAAACUUGUGAAUGUUUGAACUCUGAAAGACCUGUUGUUGCUGUCUUCACACAGAUUUAUGUUUGAAUCAUUUUCUUCAUGAACGAAGAUAGAUGCAUGUGUUUUGCUUUGAGCA